Talpa occidentalis (Iberian mole) is the source of this 349-nucleotide long non-coding RNA. RefSeq lists it as uncharacterized. The record is from RefSeq and is a predicted model, not a curated record. The transcript is spliced from 3 exons. NCBI's taxonomy places the organism in Eukaryota, Metazoa, Chordata, Mammalia, Eulipotyphla, Talpidae.
AAAGCCAGAGAAAGCCCAGAGAAAAGAGCAUAAAGAGAUUUGCAAGAGGCUCAAGUUGCUGCCUCCCUGCUGGCUUGUUUCUCCUGCUUACCAUUAAAAGCUGUGAAAAUGAUGCCAAGUGGGACCAGUGGCUCCAUUUUCAACUGCCAUGGAAAAGAGGUUCUCAUGGUUCCCAACAGUACUAGCUGGACCUCACCAUACAAGGUCACAAAGGAAGGUACCAGAGUUGGUCAGGCAGCAGAAGGAAUGAGGAGGAAAUACAGAAUGAUGAGAAGAGUGCCAGCUGUCACCUGCAUUGGAAUGAGCUGUGUUAUGGGAACCCUGAGCUGAGGAAGGAAACCUUUUUUAA